UGCCUGUACCAUAACCGACACAGGUGGGUAGGUAGAGUAUACUAAGGGGCGCGAGAUAACUCUCUCUAAGGAACUCGGCAAAAUGACUCCGUAACUUCGGGAGAAGGAGUGCCUUAUUUAUAAGGUUGCAAUAACAAGAUCCAAGCAACUGUUUAUCAAAAACACAGGUCUCCGCUAAGUCGUAAGACGAUGUAUGGGGGCUGACGCCUGCCCAGUGCCAGAAGGUUAAAGAAGUUGGUUAGUGUAUGCGAAGCUGAUGACUGAAGCCCUGGUGAACGGCGGCCGUAACGAUAACGGUCCUAAGGUAGCGAAAUUCCUUGUCGGGUAAGUUCCGACCCGCACGAAAGGCGUAAUGAUUUGGAUACUGUCUCGGAGAGAGGCUCGGUGAAAUAGACUUGUCUGUGAAGAUGCGGACUACCUGCACCAGGACAGAAAGACCCUAUGAAGCUUUACUGUAACUUGAAAUUGGAAUUGGACUUUGCUUGCGCAGUAUAGGUGGGAAGCGUUGAAGAUAUUCUUGCGGGAGUAUUGGAGCUAUCAGUGAGAUACCACUCUUGUAAUGUUAGAUUUCUAACUUUGAACCAUAAUCUGGUCAAAGAACAGUUUCAGGUGGGCAGUUUGACUGGGGCGGUCGCCUCCCAAAUGGUAACGGAGGCGUACAAAGGUUUCCUCUGAACGGAUAGAAAUCGUAUCUAGAGUGUAAAGGCAUAAGGAAGCUUGACUGUGAGACCUACAAGUCGAGCAGGGACGAAAGUCGGUCUUAGUGAUCUGACGGUACUGAGUGGAAAGGCCGUCACUCAACGGAUAAAAGUUACUCUAGGAUAACAGGCUGAUCUCCCCCAAGAGUUCACAUCGACGGGGAGGUUUGGCACCUCGAUGUCGGCUCAUCGCAUCCUGGGGCGGUAGUACGUCCCAAGGGUUGGGCUGUUCGCCCAUGAAAGCGGUACGCGAGCUGGGUUCAGAACGUCGUGAGACAGUUCGGUCCAUAUCCGGUGUAGGCGUUAGAAUAUUGAGAGGAGCCUUCUUUAGUACGAGAGGACCGAGAAGGACACACCGCUGGUGUACCAGUUAUCGUGCCAACGGUAAACGCUGGGUAGCUAUGUGUGGAGUGGAUAACCGCUGAAAGCAUCUAAGUGGGAAGCCCACCUCAAGAUGAGUAUUCUCAUCACUAUAAGUGAGUAAGGUCACGGUAAGACUAGCCGUUUGAUAGGCAUUAAGUGUAAAUGUAGUAAUGCAUGUGCUGAGAUGUCCUAACAGACCGAGGACU
Molecule: ribosomal RNA, 1267 nt
Filed under: metagenome
Description: bacterial LSU rRNA
Rfam family: Bacterial large subunit ribosomal RNA
Source: RNAcentral